Molecule: long non-coding RNA, 965 nt
Filed under: Homo sapiens (human)
Lineage: Eukaryota; Metazoa; Chordata; Mammalia; Primates; Hominidae
Description: long intergenic non-protein coding RNA 1193
Source: RNAcentral
AGUAACACUCUGGGAGGGCUCAGGCCACAUCACGAAAUGUGACAGGAUAGCCUUGAACUCAUCAAUUGCUGGGCAGAAAACUAGCACCCAAAACCAGUUGGAAUAAAAUUACCCACCUACAGUGGAGCCAAGGCCCCCAGAUCCUUUUUGUCAGCAAGGUAAGCUGUCAUCAGUUGGAGGUAAGCAGAAGACAGUAGAGAGUACAGAGCCCUGGACUGUGACUCAGAGGAUGAGCACCAGAUCCAGUUUGCUGUGCCACAGUGCCUUCUCCAAAGUCACUCACAGAAGGCAUCCCACUCAACCUCACCUUGGGGUAAAUCAAAAUAGUCCUCCUUCUGAAGCUACCGGGUAAAACGGUGGUAGCUGUGCAGCUGCUGCUGAUCAACAGGCUCCAGAAACAGCAGCAGGAGGUGAGCAGUCCCUGCGUUGGCCACCAAGUGGUAGGUGGCCAGCCCUACCUCCAAGUUGCACUGUUUACUUAUUCAUCUUUCAUGGUAAAGCCUCCAGUUGCCUAUUAUGAAAUCAGCAAUAAUCAUGUGUCCCCUGUCUGGGUCCCUGAAAAGAUGGAAAGAGGCAGAUCAGGCUGGUGCUCUGAGAAUGACAGACAUCAAACAAGAAUGAAAAGUGUCACCCUCCUUGGACUUAUUCAGUAACUCAUGCCCUUGAGCAAAGGAGGAUUUUCUAUCAAAGGACAUGGAUUUCUGUGUCUUUCUCUUGAGAUAACAUUGCUGGGUGACCACAGAAAGCUGGCUCUGGAAGCACAGAAGCUGCCUUUCCUUGAGUAAUAAUGUCUCUUCAAAGGGAGCUGGAGCAUGAGUAGUGUACAUGCCUCAGAUUUCAGUGAAAAGUUCAGAGGAGGCCUGAGAAGAAGGUCCUGGGAAUGAAUCAUCUAGAUGACUCAACCUUGCAAAGCCAUCCACCUCAUUGUGGAUAUCAUUCAAUACAUUUGGUGCUCCAUCAUCCUA